AAUUCUGAAACCAUUGGAUACAACCUCACCACAUUCAGACGGUUCUUUGGUGGUGGAAUAGCAACUAUUGAAAUGAAUUACCGUAUGAACAAAAAGAAUACAAAUCAGGACUGAUAUAAUUGCUCAAGAAAUCUAUCCAUUGUUUGUAUCUUGCUUGUUUGUCUUGGAUAUUAAGAAGAUGCGCACGUCUGACAAGCAGUGACGUGACGUAGAGGAGUAUGUGGGGCUGCUCUCCAUGGCCAUUUCCUAGCAAACACCAGAGUCACGCAGGAGCACAAGGUGCAUCUGUAUCCUUACACAAUCCUGAUUCACCACUCGCUGGAGAAGUUCCAGUUUAGUAGUUUAUCCUCAGACCACCUCCAACAGGAUCGAUGAUUCCGCGAGCUAAGGGCAACUCCAACCGAGCUUUUUGUUAGACCCAUACCUCCUCUAUGAGGGCUAAAACCCAAAAAUCUCUUUCCAACCGGUCUCUCAUCACAACCCCGACGGAUGAGGCGAGCUUAUUUCCCGCUCCGACUCUCGCUCGUAGGAGCUCCUUUGCCGAGCUCUCAUCCGGUGACGACGCCAACGGCCGGCCCUCCAGCGCAUCCAUGGAGCUUUUCCCGCGACGUCCACAGACGUUUCCCCGCGCUAGAUUCAACAAGCAUGUGUGAUGUACAAGGAUGCAGAUUCAGAUAAGUGGUUAUUUGAUUUACUGCAUUGUUGGAACCUGCUACAGCAUGCCCAGAAGUGGAAGGACCUUCCUUGUAAUAGCAACAACAAAAAAUAAAGAUGAAAGGUACUGCCGUUCGAAAUAUAGCCGUUUGAAAUAUAGCAAUUUGAAAUAUAGCUGUUUUAAAUAUAGCCGUUGCAAAUGUAGUUGUUGUUCAAAUAGUUGUUAGCUGCCAAAUUAUUAAAAACUAAUGGUUAAAAAUAAUUCCAUUCAAAAGUUAUUACUAGAAAAUGUAGUCAUUUAUAGAAUGAUUGUUGGUAAUAAAUAAUGUUUGCAUA
Molecule: long non-coding RNA, 990 nt
Organism: Panicum hallii
Lineage: Eukaryota; Viridiplantae; Streptophyta; Magnoliopsida; Poales; Poaceae
Exons: 2
Source: RefSeq, a predicted model, not a curated record